AGCUAAAGUUCUCUCUCCCUCUCCCUCUCCCUCUCCCACAGCCUCCAGUUACGACGCCGGAGCAAGAUCCAUGGAGUGGCGUCCGUUGAAAGAGAUCGAGGCGAACGUCCAGAUGCAGAACCCUAAUGACGAAGCCAUGUUCGACGAAGCAACCAUGGUCGAUGAUGAUGAAGUAAUGGGCAAAUCUAAAGCUACACUCCAACCAAAACCAAGUUGGUUCGAUGAUGAUGAUGACUGCAUUGGCCAGAAUCGUAACAGUAUGCUUUUGAUUUUUGUUUUAGUAUUAAAUCCUCAUUUUCUCCCUAAUGAAUAUGAAUAUGA
Molecule: non-coding RNA, 321 nt
Organism: Malus domestica (apple)
Lineage: Eukaryota; Viridiplantae; Streptophyta; Magnoliopsida; Rosales; Rosaceae
Source: RefSeq, a predicted model, not a curated record